UCUCCGUUGGUGAACCAGCGGAGGGAUCAUUACAGGACUCGCAAGACUACUACAACCCUGUGAACUUAACUAUAAGCACGUUGCUUCGGGGGGUGUCUCGGAGGGGGUUCUCCCUCCCCGAGACGCUAAACCCGCCGGCAGCCUACUAUACUCUGUCUCUUUGCGUUGGCAUCUCGAGUACAAUCAAACAAGUUAAAACUUUCAACAACGGAUCUCUUGGUUCUG
This 225-nucleotide unclassified non-coding RNA is filed under the name plant metagenome. Its description in RNAcentral is "partial contains small subunit ribosomal RNA, internal transcribed spacer 1, and 5.8S ribosomal RNA". The record is from RNAcentral.